AUUGAACGCUGGCGGAAUGCUUUACACAUGCAAGUCGAACGGCAGCACGGGAGCUUGCUCCUGGUGGCGAGUGGCGAACGGGUGAGUAAUACAUCGGAACGUACCCAGUUAUGGGGGAUAACUAACCGAAAGGUUAGCUAAUACCGCAUACGCCCUGAGGGGGAAAGCGGGGGACCGUAAGGCCUCGGCGUAAUUGGAGC
Molecule: ribosomal RNA, 200 nt
Filed under: uncultured bacterium
Lineage: Bacteria
Description: partial 16S ribosomal RNA
Rfam family: Bacterial small subunit ribosomal RNA
Source: RNAcentral